AGAGUUUGAUCCUGGCUCAGGAUGAACGCUAGCGGGAGGCUUAACACAUGCAAGUCGAGGGGCAGCAUGAUCUUCGGAUCGAUGGCGACCGGCGGACGGGUGAGUAACGCGUAUGCAACCUACCUUUUACAGAGGAAUAGCCCAGAGAAAUUUGGAUUAAUACCUCAUGGUACUAUAAAAUCGCAUGAUUUUAUAGUUAAAGAUUUAUCGGUAAAAGAUGGGCAUGCGUGACAUUAGAUUGUUGGCGGGGUAACGGCCCACCAAGUCUGCGAUGUCUAGGGGUUCUGAGAGGAUGAUCCCCCACACUGGUACUGAGACACGGACCAGACUCCUACGGGAGGCAGCAGUGAGGAAUAUUGGUCAAUGGACGCAAGUCUGAACCAGCCAUCCUGCGUGAAGGAUGACGGUCCUAUGGAUUGUAAACUUCUUUUAUGUACCAAGAAUGUGACCCUCGUGAGGGUUUUUGACGGUAGUACAUGAAUAAGCAUCGGCUAACUCCGUGCCAGCAGCCGCGGUAAUACGGAGGAUGCGAGCGUUAUCCGGAUUCAUUGGGUUUAAAGGGUGCGUAGGCGGCUUAUUAUGUCAGUGGUGAAAUCCUGCGGCUUAACCGUAGAACUGCCAUUGAAACUGAUAAGCUUGAAUAUAGUUGAGGUAGGCGGAAUGAGUAGUGUAGCGGUGAAAUGCUUAGAGAUUACUCAGAACACCGAUUGCGAAGGCAGCUUACUAAACUAUUAUUGACGCUGAGGCACGAAAGCGUGGGGAGCGAACAGGAUUAGAUACCCUGGUAGUCCACGCCGUAAACGAUGUUCACUCGCUGCUUGCGAUACAUAGUAAGUGGCCAAGCGAAAGCAUUAAGUGAACCACCUGGGGAGUACGUCGGCAACGGUGAAACUCAAAGGAAUUGACGGGGGCCCGCACAAGCGGAGGAACAUGUGGUUUAAUUCGAUGAUACGCGAGGAACCUUACCUGGGCUUAAAUGUAGAUUGCAUGUGGUGGAAACACCCUUCUCUUCGGAGCUAUCUACAAGGUGCUGCAUGGUUGUCGUCAGCUCGUGCCGUGAGGUGUCGGGUUAAGUCCCAUAACGAGCGCAACCCCUAUCGUUAGUUGCCAUCAGGUCAUGCUGGGGACUCUAGCGAGACUGCCACCGUAAGGUGAGAGGAAGGUGGGGAUGACGUCAAAUCAGCACGGCCCUUAUGUCCAGGGCUACACACGUGUUACAAUGGCAGGUACAAAGGGCAGCUACACCGCGAGGUGAUGCUAAUCUCUAAAGCCUGUCUCAGUUCGGAUC
RNAcentral lists this ribosomal RNA (1288 nucleotides) under metagenome. RNAcentral's name for it is "bacterial SSU rRNA". It matches the Rfam family "Bacterial small subunit ribosomal RNA", at positions 8 to 1299 of the family's 1533-position model. The record is from RNAcentral.